RNAcentral lists this ribosomal RNA (445 nucleotides) under uncultured bacterium. RNAcentral describes it as "partial 16S ribosomal RNA". It matches the Rfam family "Bacterial small subunit ribosomal RNA", at positions 354 to 796 of the family's 1533-position model. The record is from RNAcentral.
GUGAGGAAUAUUGGUCAAUGGGCGAGAGCCUGAACCAGCCAAGUCGCGUGAAGGAUGAAGGUUUUAUGAAUUGUAAACUUCUUUUGCAGGGGAAUAAAGUACGGUACGUGUACCGUUUUGUAUGUACUCUGCGAAUAAGGAUCGGCUAACUCCGUGCCAGCAGCCGCGGUAAUACGGAGGAUCCGAGCGUUAUCCGGAUUUAUUGGGUUUAAAGGGUGCGUAGGUGGUUUGAUAAGUCAGCGGUGAAAGUUUGCAGCUUAACUGUAAAAAUGCCGUUGAAACUGUCGGACUUGAGUGUAAAUGAGGUAGGCGGAAUGCGUGGUGUAGCGGUGAAAUGCAUAGAUAUCACGCAGAACUCCGAUUGCGAAGGCAGCUUACUAAGCUACAACUGACACUGAAGCACGAAAGCGUGGGGAUCAAACAGGAUUAGAAACCCGGGUAGUCC